This 495-nucleotide small RNA is filed under the name Curvularia spicifera. Its description in RNAcentral is "eukaryotic LSU rRNA". The stretch from base 179 to 332 matches the Rfam family "5.8S ribosomal RNA". Lineage: Eukaryota; Fungi; Ascomycota; Dothideomycetes; Pleosporales; Pleosporaceae. The record is from RNAcentral.
UGCGGAGGGAUCAUUACACAAUAAAAUACGAAGGCCGUUCGCGGCUGGACUAUUUAUUACCCUUGUCUUUUGCGCACUUGUUGUUUCCUGGGCGGGUUCGCUCGCCACCAGGACCACAAUAUAAACCUUUUUUAUGCAGUUGCAAUCAGCGUCAGUAUAACAAAUGUAAAUCAUUUACAACUUUCAACAACGGAUCUCUUGGUUCUGGCAUCGAUGAAGAACGCAGCGAAAUGCGAUACGUAGUGUGAAUUGCAGAAUUCAGUGAAUCAUCGAAUCUUUGAACGCACAUUGCGCCCUUUGGUAUUCCAAAGGGCAUGCCUGUUCGAGCGUCAUUUGUACCCUCAAGCUUUGCUUGGUGUUGGGCGUUUUUGUCUUUGGCCCGCCAAAGACUCGCCUUAAAAUGAUUGGCAGCCGGCCUACUGGUUUCGCAGCGCAGCACAUUUUUGCGCUUGCAAUCAGCAAAAGAGGACGGCAAUCCAUCAAGACUCCUUCUCA